GACGAACGCUGGCGGCGUGCCUAAUACAUGCAAGUUGAGCGCUGAAGGUUGGUACUUGUACCGACUGGAUGAGCAGCGAACGGGUGAGUAACGCGUGGGGAAUCUGCCUUUGAGCGGGGGACAACAUUUGGAAACGAAUGCUAAUACCGCAUAAAAACUUUAAACACAAGUUUUAAGUUUGAAAGAUGCAAUUGCAUCACUCAAAGAUGAUCCCGCGUUGUAUUAGCUAGUUGGUGAGGUAAAGGCUCACCAAGGCGAUGAUACCUAGCCGACCUGAGAGGGUGAUCGGCCACAUUGGGACUGAGACACGGCCCAAACUCCUACGGGAGGCAGCAGUAGGGAAUCUUCGGCAAUGGACGAAAGUCUGACCGAGCAACGCCGCGUGAGUGAAGAAGGUUUUCGGAUCGUAAAACUCUGUUGGUAGAGAAGAACGUUGGUGAGAGUGGAAAGCUCAUCAAGUGACGGUAACUACCCAGAAAGGGACGGCUAACUACGUG
Molecule: ribosomal RNA, 497 nt
Filed under: uncultured bacterium
Lineage: Bacteria
Description: partial 16S ribosomal RNA
Rfam family: Bacterial small subunit ribosomal RNA
Source: RNAcentral